UUCUGCACAUUUAUAACUCAGAUGCAGUGUUUUUAUUUUCAAUAAAUCAGUGUGAUAGUGGCAAGAUGGAUGACACUUUUUUACAACGCCCCCUGUGGUCAUGAGGUAUAUGAACUGUCUAGACUGUGUAUUAAUGGACUCCAGACAAAUGAAAAGUACAAGCUUAAGACAGAAAACUGUGCUUAACAGAGAAAUAGAAAGUACCAUGCAGGCUGGAGAAAAUAUACAAGCUCACCAGGUAACAGACUGAGCAUGACACUUGAAGGGAGUGUUGCAUUAAAUGAGAGCACUUUCCAUCCAGUUCUCCAUCUUCUGGGAAGGCCAUCCAGACAUUAAUGGACCAUUUAAGCAGACAACAAAGAUGAACAGCUGAGAAACUGGGUCAAAGAAGAAAGGUCAUAUGGAACAAUGGGAACAUGGCAAACAACCUCAGCACACUGAGACUGGAUUGACUGGAGAGAUCGGGCAACCUCUGGACAUUGCAGCGUCAGCAACAGCGAGGCAAGUGUAGACUCUCAGCAUAUCUACCAUUCACACUGUGCUUGCUAGAUAUAGGCCAAGAUGGAUACACAA
Oreochromis niloticus (Nile tilapia) is the source of this 573-nucleotide long non-coding RNA. RefSeq lists it as uncharacterized. Lineage: Eukaryota; Metazoa; Chordata; Actinopteri; Cichliformes; Cichlidae. The transcript has 4 exons. The record is from RefSeq and is a predicted model, not a curated record.